AGAGGUUAGGGCCAUGUAACUAAUGUAGCCAACCAUAAUCUACUUUUCUCAGAAAAUAACAGUCACUGUUAUUUUGUUCAGUCUUUAUACAUUUGUGCAGAAUCUUGUCUCUCUUUGUCUCUGUGUGAUGUAAUCAGACUCCCCAUACAGGAAGUAGAGCGGUUUGUCAGAAGAACUGUAGUGGGACAGAAUGGAGAACACCGUGCUCUGUGUGCUACUCUUGCUGAGUUUCCUCAUCUACUGUGGACACUGGUGAAGAUGGCAGAUAUUCAUUUAUUUGAUCAAAUCUCUGUCUUUAUGUUUCAUCCUCUUUGUCUCUGUCACUGCUUUUCCUUUCUCACAGUCAUUGUUUUUGAUAAAAUCGGUGAUUUAGUUGAAAUAGAUGAUUCAGUUGAAAUAUGUUAUUCAAAUUCAAUAGGUGAUUCAGUUGAAAUAGGUGAUUCAAUUGAAAUAGGUGAUUGAUACACUAUUUAUAUUGAGCCAUUCAUGAUGUACGUGUCAGUAUUCGGUUGUGUUUGUAUGCUCUGUGUAGAAAAGUAAAACAAAUGUGUUUUAUUUGUCCCAUGAUACUGUAACAAGUAAAAGGUAAUGGUAUUGUGUUGAUUGUGUCUAUGCAGAGAAACCUGUUCUGACCAUCCAGCCCAACAGCACUCUGUACCCUGGAGAGACAGUUAUACUGACGGUUACUCUUACUGAUGGUGAUGUGAUCCUGGAGAGUCCUGUCCAUCCCCUGACUGAAGGAGACUGUAACUCUGACCUGUAUAUUUAAAUAUCAGGAAACAUAUCCUAACCCGAAGACUGAGAUGUCAGAAGAGCAUUGUGUGUUCAAGUGUCUUGAUGGUAUAAUCAUGUGUUUUUCUAGACCCUCCAGGUUCUGUUGUCUCCAUCUCUCUGACCAGGCUGCUGUGUGGUCUACUGGUGAUGUCUCCCUUUCUACUGGUGUCCAUCCUGUGACUGAAGGAGACUCUGUGACUCUGACCUGUACAUUUAGACAUCAGGGAACAAAUCCUAAACUCAAGACUGAUUUCUACAAAGAUGGAACACUCAUCAAGAAUGAGACCACAGGAGAGAUGACCAUCCCUAUAGUAUCCAAGUCAGAUGAAGGAUUCUAUAAGUGUAAAUCUGAUGAAGGAGAAUCACCAGAGAGCUGGGUGGCAGUGAGAGUCCCUCCAGGUUCUGUUGUCUCCAUCUCUCUGACCAGGCUGCUGUGUGGUCUACUGGUGAUGUCUCCCUUUCUACUGGUGUCCAUCAUGCUGACGGUGAAAUGCUGCAGGGCUCGAGGUUUGUGUUCAACAGUCAAAUAUCCUCAAGACCAGAUACCAUGUGAUGAUGUCAUCGAACAGAACGAAUCCUUAGUGUGAUCAUUACAGUACGAACUGUAAGCUGAACAACCAUUUUUAUGAUUGUAAAGUUCUUACCAUUGAUAUAGGAUAGUGUUUACUGAGUUUAAUAUCACUGAAUGGAAUUACACAAAUUCUGAAUGUUAUGAUUUUGUAAGUUGACGAUUUCAGCUUUUGGUGGCUUGUAUACAUUCCUUUGUUAUUGUUGAUUGAUGUAGAUUUUUCUUCAAAUAUUACACUUAUCUGUCUUUAUUUCAGUUUUUUAAUUGAACAAUAGUGUAGUUCCUGCUGCAUAUGUUGUAUUUUAAAUAAUCUCAUGCUUUUUACAUGCAAGUGGAUAUAUACAGUAUGUGAAUCUUUUCAGUUUUUAUUCUAAUUUAAAAUACUAAAGAUGUGUUUAUACCUGGUUGGUCAACCUACUUUAACAGUUAAGAUGGAACACGUAGCUAUAGUUUGUUAUUAAAACUGUAUAUUUGCAUAAUGCAGCUUUUAUACUUAUUAUUAUAUAAAAGGUAGACUCAGCGAAAUUACGUUGCCAAGAGUAGCACAACAGAUAUUGAGAUGAGCGAGAUGCAAGACUUCACUCUCACACAGCCACAGACAGUAUCUGCACAUAUGCACGGAUUCACUUCACGUUCACAGUCUGGUAGUCUCCGGACCAAAACAGAGGAGAAGUUGAGCCUCAUGCUUCAACGUUCUUAGUUGUUGUGGAAUUUGAAUCACUAUGCAGUUUACUUGUUACAUCUACGUCAUAUCGCUGAGUCAACCUUUAAUCUCCACAAACGUUUGACUUAUAUUCAUUUUGAAAUACUGUCUAAGUAUUUUGUAAAAAAAAAAGUUUUACAGCAGAUAUACAUUUCCAACAUGUAAGUAUUUUGUAAAAUGGUUUCAGUAGUUGUUAUAGUAGUCAGAUGAGUGUUCCACUAUGGGACUUAAAAUGGAGAAGGUAUGUUGUGUUUUGUAAUUAUUCUCAUCUAUCAAAUAAAAGUGAUGAUUCCCCACAUCA
Oncorhynchus nerka (sockeye salmon) is the source of this 2346-nucleotide long non-coding RNA. RefSeq lists it as uncharacterized. The transcript is spliced from 5 exons. The record is from RefSeq and is a predicted model, not a curated record. Lineage: Eukaryota; Metazoa; Chordata; Actinopteri; Salmoniformes; Salmonidae.